CCUACGGGAGGCAGCAGUGAGGAAUAUUGGUCAAUGGGCUGAAGCCUGAACCAGCCAAGUCGCGUGAGGGAAUAAGGCCCUACGGGUCGUAAACCUCUUUUGUCAGGGAGCAAGGUGCAGGUCGGGACCUGCUGUGAGAGUACCUGAAGAAAAAGCAUCGGCUAACUCCGUGCCAGCCGCCGCGGUAAUACGGAGGAUGCGAGCGUUCUCCGGAUUUAUUGGGUUUACGGGGUGCGCAGGCGGGGGCCCAAGUCAGCGGUAAAAUCGCGGGGCUCAACCCCGCUCCGCCGUUGAAACUGUGUCCCUUGAGUGCGCUAAGGGUAGGCAGAAUGCGUGGUGUAGCGGUGAAAUGCAUAGAGAUCACGCAGAACUCCGAUCGCGAAGGCAGCCUACCGGCGCGCAACUGACGCGCAUGCACGAAAGCGUGGGUAUCGAACAGGAUUAGAUACCCGAGUAGUC
Molecule: ribosomal RNA, 459 nt
Filed under: uncultured bacterium
Lineage: Bacteria
Description: partial 16S ribosomal RNA
Rfam family: Bacterial small subunit ribosomal RNA
Source: RNAcentral